This 407-nucleotide ribosomal RNA is filed under the name uncultured bacterium. Its description in RNAcentral is "partial 16S ribosomal RNA". It matches the Rfam family "Bacterial small subunit ribosomal RNA", at positions 30 to 526 of the family's 1533-position model. The record is from RNAcentral.
AUUGAACGCUGGCGGCAGGCCUAACACAUGCAAGUCGAGCGGAGCGGCGGACGGGUGAGUAAGGCCUAGGUAUCUGCCUGGCAGUGGGGGAUAACGUCCGGUAACGGGCGCUAAUACCGCAACCUAUUAGAUGAGCCUAGGUCGGAUUAGCUAGCUGGUGGGGGAAAGGCCUACCAAGGCGACGAUCCGUAACUGGUCUGAGAGGAUGAUCAGUCACACUGGAACUGAGACACGGUCCAGACUCCUACGGGAGGCAGCAGUGGGGAAUAUUGGGCAAUGGGCGAAAGCCUGAUCCAGCCAUGCCGCGUGAGUGAAGAAGGUCUUCGGAUUGUAAAGCUCUUUUAGUUGGGAGGCGUUACCAACAGAAAAAGCACCGGCUAACUUCGUGCCAGCAGCCGCGGUAAUAC